RNAcentral lists this ribosomal RNA (225 nucleotides) under uncultured bacterium. RNAcentral describes it as "partial 16S ribosomal RNA". It matches the Rfam family "Bacterial small subunit ribosomal RNA", at positions 524 to 748 of the family's 1533-position model. The record is from RNAcentral.
UACGUAGGUGCGAGCGUUGUCCGGAAUUAUGUGCGUAAAGAGCUCGUAGGUGGUUUGUCGCGUUGUUCGUGAAAUGCCACAGCUUAACUGUGGGCGUGCGGGCGAUACGGGCAGACUGGAGUACUGCAGGGGAGACUGGAAUUCCUGGGUGUAGCGGUGGAAUGCGCAGAUAUCAGGAGGAACACCGGUGGCGAAGGCGGUUCUCUGGGCCUUAACCUGACGCUG